Molecule: ribosomal RNA, 253 nt
Filed under: uncultured bacterium
Lineage: Bacteria
Description: partial 16S ribosomal RNA
Rfam family: Bacterial small subunit ribosomal RNA
Source: RNAcentral
UACGUAGGGUGCAAGCGCUACUCGGAAUUACUGGGCGUAAAGCGUGCGUAGGUGGUUCGUUAAGUCUGUCGUGAAAGCCCCGGGCUCAACCUGGGAAUGGCGAUGGAUACUGGCGGGCUAGAGUGCGGUAGAGGGUGGUGGAAUUCCCGGUGUAGCAGUGAAAUGCGUAGAGAUCGGGAGGAACAUCAGUUGCGAAGGCGGCCACCUGGACCAGCACUGACACUGAGGCACGAAAGCGUGGGGAGCAAACAGG